GGGGAAUCUUAGACAAUGGGCGCAAGCCUGAUCUAGCCAUGCCGCGUGAGCGAUGAAGGCCUUAGGGUUGUAAAGCUCUUUCGCUGGGGAAGAUAAUGACGGUACCCAGUAAAGAAGCCCCGGCUAACUCCGUGCCAGCAGCCGCGGUAAUACGGAGGGGGCUAGCGUUGUUCGGAAUUACUGGGCGUAAAGCGCGCGUAGGCGGAUUGGAAAGUUGGGGGUGAAAUCCCGGGGCUCAACCUCGGAACUGCCUUCAAAACUCCCAGUCUUGAGUUCGAGAGAGGUGAGUGGAAUUCCGAGUGUAGAGGUGAAAUUCGUAGAUAUUCGGAGGAACACCAGUGGCGAAGGCGGCUCACUGGCUCGAUACUGACGCUGAGGUGCGAAAGCGUGGGGAGCAAAC
This 400-nucleotide ribosomal RNA is filed under the name uncultured bacterium. RNAcentral describes it as "bacterial SSU rRNA". It matches the Rfam family "Bacterial small subunit ribosomal RNA", at positions 356 to 773 of the family's 1533-position model. The record is from RNAcentral.